CCUACGGGAGGCAGCAGUGGGGAAUAUUGGGCAAUGGAGGAAACUCUGACCCAGCGACGCCGCGUGCGGGAUGAAGGCCUUCGGGUUGUAAACCGCUUUCAGUAGGGAAGAAGCGAAAGUGACGGUACCUACAGAAGAAGCACCGGCUAACUAUGUGCCAGCAGCCGCGGUAAUACAUAGGGUGCAAGCGUUGUCCGGAAUUAUUGGGCGUAAAGAGCUCGUAGGUGGUUCGUCACGUCGGAUGUGAAAAUCUGGGGCUCAACCCCAGACCUGCAUUCGAUACGGGCGAUCUAGAGUGUGGUAGGGGAGACUGGAAUUCCUGGUGUAGCGGUGGAAUGCGCAGAUAUCAGGAGGAACACCAAUGGCGAAGGCAGGUCUCUGGGCCAUUACUGACACUGAGGAGCGAAAGCGUGGGGAGCGAACAGGAUUAGAUACCCUGGUAGUCCACGCCGUAAACGGUGGGCACUAGUUGUGGGAACCUUCCACGGUUUCUGCGACGCNGCUACGCAUAGUAGCCCGCCGUCGGGAGGUACGAGCGCGAGAAGUAAACGUAACUAAAGGUAAGUUAGUUACGGCGUGAGACGUAGCCGACGGACGACGACGAGGGAGGAGG
RNAcentral lists this ribosomal RNA (613 nucleotides) under uncultured bacterium. RNAcentral's name for it is "bacterial SSU rRNA". The stretch from base 1 to 521 matches the Rfam family "Bacterial small subunit ribosomal RNA", at positions 338 to 873 of the family's 1533-position model. The record is from RNAcentral.